UCCUCUCUCGUUCUCAUCUGUAAAUCUUUGCUCAUUUCAUUCUCUUCUACCUUCUUCUAUCGUUCUCUCUACUACAAGCCUCAUCGUUAUCAACAUCAUAAACCCCCAAAUCCUUUUCCUUCUUUCUUUUCGAAACCCUAGAAAUCUCUUUAUGAUUUCCCUAAACUUAAAUCUCCACUGAAAACCCUAGAUUUGGUCAUGACCAAAUUGAAAGCUUCAUCUUCUUCACGUUUGAAUGAUUUUGAUUCUACUUUAUCUUCUUCGUUAUGGAUUCCACGAAUCAACAUCAGAUCUCAGCAUCAUCCGUAGGAUGUAAGAUAUUUUGGUAUAAUCUUAUAAUACUACUUCUUAUUCAAAUCUUGAUGAUUCCUCAUAUUUCUGUGGUUAUUGCAGCUUGUUUUAAUAGUUUCAUUUUGAUCAUAAAGUCGUGUAUUCAACGAUGAAUUAUCAAUUUUGUAUGUUCCCUGGAUGGCCUCAUGGCCUCAACUAUCAAUUUUGAUUGCAAGGUAGAAAUUAAUAUCUUCUGUCAUUCUUUUACUGGACUUCCAGAUUCUUACGACAGCGUUUCUUAUAAGCUUGGGUUAAGGAGAUUUUAAACUCAGGGUUAUGGUUUCACCUUGGGCUCAUUUGUGUUCGUCGUAAUCGACUUGUUGAGCAUGUCUGAAGAGAACUACUAGUUUGUUAUUGUAGUGUAAUUUAUGGUACACAUGCAUUUUAUGGUGUUCAUAUUAUCUGGUUUAGAGUUCAAGUAGGUAAAGACGAUGAUUAUUGUGAUGGACAACAAUUCAAAUGGUUUAUUUUUCUUAUUUUAUUGCUAUUUUUACUUUGAUUUGGUGAUCAUAUCCUAUUCAAAUGGUACCUUACAUAUGUUCAUUAUUGGUAUAUGUUUCUGUUCAGUAAGUAUUCAUAGACUCUUUAACUCCUCAACUCACCUAAUUACUUACUCACAUGUUUAUCUUCUCUUACAGACAAUAUCAAUCUCAUAUCCUAAGACUAAAUGCAUUCGAUCGUCAUAAGAAGUUCUAGAAGAAUUAUGUUGAUUUUUACGGUACUGGAAGAAAAGUAGACUGUCCUUCUAAAACUAAUCAAGAUACUUUUGGAGAAGGUUACAGAGAUGAAGUGGACAUGACUGUGCUGAGGAGGAGGAAACUAAUGCCAUCUAGAAUCUAAGACAAACUAAAUAAUGAGUACGUCCUUCCUGACUGUCUAUGAAUUGCAUAACCUGAUUUUAGGGCCGAGGCUGAUAUCUGGGAAUGGAUCAUCAUAAGGUGAAUAUUUUCCCGCAGUCGUGGUUAAAAAGAUGGGCAUGAGAAUAUGAUGAGGCAAAACGAAGGGAAGAUGAAAUAAAUAACCUUGAGGUAUUUCACGAGGCCGGAAUGAAAAGGUUGGAGGUAGUUGCAUCUGCGAAAGAUCUCAGAUGAGGUGCACCUCUUGUAGGAAAAUGAGGAAUAUCUGAAGAGAUAGAGGUUCUCCAUACCCAGGUGGAUAGGAACCUUGAAGUGACUAGAUUUUCCAUGGAACUUCUUCGUUUGAAAGAAGAAGUUAGAAGGCAUGUGUUUCUUUCUUCAUCUCAAUCUGAGUUUAUACUCUUUGCACUAAAAAUUAUGCUACUCUUUGUCAUGUGAUGCUAGACUUUGUACUCAACAUUCAUAUGAUUUUUGUGGUAUGCUUCAUGAUUUUGUGUAUAUGGAGUUUUUCAUGGUAUAUCAUAGUGAAUCAACUCUAAGAACACU
Long non-coding RNA from Papaver somniferum (opium poppy), 1733 nucleotides. RefSeq lists it as uncharacterized. The record is from RefSeq and is a predicted model, not a curated record. The transcript has 6 exons. Lineage: Eukaryota; Viridiplantae; Streptophyta; Magnoliopsida; Ranunculales; Papaveraceae.